AGAGGGUUCGAUUAUGGCUCAGAUUGAACGCUGGCGGGAUGCUUUACACAUGCAAGUCGAACGGCAGCACGACUUCGGUCUGGUGGCGAGUGGCGAACGGGUGAGUAAUGUAUCGGAACGUGCCUAGUAGCGGGGAUAACUACGCGAAAGCGUAGCUAAUACCGCACAAUACUUCGGGAAAGCGGGGACCUUCGGGCCUCGCACUAUUAGAGCGGCUGAUAUCGGAUUAGCUAGUUGGUGGGGUAACGGCUCACCAAGGCGACGAUCCGUAGCUGGUUUGAGAGGACGACCAGCCACACUGGGACUGAGACACGGCCCAGACUCCCUACGGGAGGCAGCAGUGGGGAAUUUUGGACAAUGGGGGAAACUCCUGAUCCAGCCAUCCCGCGUGUGCGAUGAAGGCCUUCGCUGUAAAGCACUUUGGCAGGAAAGAAACGGCACGGAUAAUACCCCGUGCAACUGACGGUACCUGCAGAAUAAGCACCGGUUGAAUCACGUGCCAGCAGCCGCGGUAAUACGUAGGUGCGUUAAUCGGAAUCAUUGGGCGCAAGCGCAGGCGGUUCGGAAAGAAAGAUGUGAACCUGAGCUUAACUUUGGAACUGCAUUUUUAACUACUGUUUAGAGUGUGUGUCAGAGGGAGGUGGAAUUCGCGUGUAGCAGUGAAAUGCGUAGAUAUGCGGAGGAACACCGAUGGCGAAGGCAGCCUCCUGGGAUAACACUGACGCUCAUGCACGAAAGCGUGGGGAGCAAACAGGGAUUAGAUACCCUGGUAGUCCACGCCCUAAACGAUGUCAACUAGCUGUUGGGGCCUUCGGGCCUUGGCAGCGCAGCUAACGCGUGAAGUUGACCGCCUGGGGAGUACGGUCGCAAGAUUAAAACUCAAAGGAAUUGGACGGGGACCCGCACAAGCGGUGGAUGAUGGAUUAAUUCGAUGCAACGCGAAAAACCUUACCUACCCUUGACAUGUCUGGAAUCCCGGAAGAGAUUUGGGAGUGCUCGCAAGAGAACCGGAACACAGGUGCUGCAUGGCUGUCGUCAGCUCGUCGUGGAGAUGUUGGGUUAAGUCCGCAACGAGCGCAACCCUUGUCAUUAGUUGCUACGAAAGGGCACUCCAUCGAGACUGCCGGUGACAAACCGGAGGAAGGUGGGGAUGACGUCAAGUCCUCAUGGCCCUGCGGGUAGGGCUUCAACACGUCAUACAAUGGUCGGGACAGAGGGUCGCCAACCCGCGAGGGGAGCCAAUCCCAGAAACCCGAUCGUAGUCCGGAUCGCAGUCUGCAACUCGACUGCGUGAAGUCGGAAUCGCUAGUAAUCGCGGAUCAGCAUGUCGCAGAAUAUGCCCCGGGUCUUGUACACACCGCCCGUCACACCAUGGGAGUGGGUUUACCAGAAGUAGCUAGCCUAACCGUAAGGAGGGCGAUUACCACGGUAGACGAUGACUGGGGUGAAGUCGUAACAAGGUAA
RNAcentral lists this ribosomal RNA (1464 nucleotides) under uncultured Bordetella sp. RNAcentral's name for it is "partial 16S-23S ribosomal RNA intergenic spacer". It matches the Rfam family "Bacterial small subunit ribosomal RNA". Lineage: Bacteria; Pseudomonadati; Pseudomonadota; Betaproteobacteria; Burkholderiales; Alcaligenaceae. The record is from RNAcentral.